RNAcentral lists this long non-coding RNA (428 nucleotides) under Capsella rubella. RNAcentral describes it as "long non-coding RNA (CRUB_LNC001898)". Lineage: Eukaryota; Viridiplantae; Streptophyta; Magnoliopsida; Brassicales; Brassicaceae. The record is from RNAcentral.
GUUAUUGUUUUUUUUUUUGCUCUACAACGUUUUUACCUUUUCCCUUAGGUAACUUGUUCACAUUUAUUUAUAAGCUAUGAUUCAAAUGUAUAUACUUUACUUUAGUGGUAAAAAUGUAUAAUAUUUAUAUUACUCCGUGUCCAACACCCCUAAACCUAAUAUAGACUACCUUAAAUUAGUAUAGUUUCUAACAUAACGGCGUAAAAUCCAUGAUUAAUUAAUUUGGAUUUAGGUCGAUCAGUGGUUUCCUUAGCCCAAAAAAAAAAAAAAAAAACGAAUGUGACCAAAAGUAAAUAAACACGAAGAGAACCAUAAGUCAACAUCUUUCCAAUCACAAUCUCUCACUCUUUGAUGUGCCCAUAUUUCUUGCUGUCAGCAAUUUACAACCUUCUCUUUUUCAUUCCAUCACCCAUCAACUACAAAAAUAC